GGUGGGAUUUCUGUGGUAUCCGCACUUGCGUGGUGAUCUGGGGUAUACCGUUUUAGUCUUGGGGGUAGAGUGACUGCUUGCGAACCAGUUCAGCAGUGCCUCAGUUUGAACACACAGCUGUGCAAGGGCCUUCAUUUUUGAAUGAGGAUUAUUUUCACCUUCAUGAAACUUUGAGAUUAUUGGAUCAAUGGUCAUUCGGUUUUGGUGAAAGAGAAAGUCACUAGGAGAAAAAAAAAAUCCUAAGUGGAACAAGAGA
This 256-nucleotide long non-coding RNA is filed under the name Homo sapiens (human). RNAcentral describes it as "non-protein coding lnc-HADHA-4:1". Lineage: Eukaryota; Metazoa; Chordata; Mammalia; Primates; Hominidae. The record is from RNAcentral.